AGUGAACGCUGGCGGUAGGCCUAACACAUGCAAGUCGAACGGAAGCACAGUAAGAGCUUGCUCUUACGGGUGGCGAGUGGCGGACGGGUGAGGAAUACAUCGGCAUCUACUUUUUCGUGGGGGAUAACGUAGGGACACUUACGCUAAUACAGCAUACGACCUACGGGUGAAAGCAGGGGUUCUUCGGACCUUGCGCGAUUGAAUGAGCCGAUGUCGGAUUAGCUAGUUGGCGGGGUAAAGGCCCACCAAGGCGACGAUCCGUAGCUGGUCUGAGAGGAUGAUCAGCCACACUGGAACUGAGACACGGUCCAGACUCCUACGGGAGGCAGCAGUGGGGAAUAUUGGACAAUGGGCGCAAGCCUGAUCCAGCCAUACCGCGUGGGUGAAGAAGGCCUUCGGGUUGUAAAGCCCUUUUGUUGGGAAAGAAAAGCAGCAUGUUAAUACCCCGCUGUUCUGACGGUACCCAAAGAAUAAGCACCGGCUAACUUCGUG
Molecule: ribosomal RNA, 492 nt
Filed under: uncultured bacterium
Lineage: Bacteria
Description: partial 16S ribosomal RNA
Rfam family: Bacterial small subunit ribosomal RNA
Source: RNAcentral